Molecule: ribosomal RNA, 465 nt
Filed under: Vreelandella stevensii
Lineage: Bacteria; Pseudomonadati; Pseudomonadota; Gammaproteobacteria; Oceanospirillales; Halomonadaceae
Description: partial 16S ribosomal RNA
Rfam family: Bacterial small subunit ribosomal RNA
Source: RNAcentral
CCUACGGGAGGCUGCAGUGGGGAAUAUUGGACAAUGGGCGAAAGCCUGAUCCAGCCAUGCCGCGUGUGUGAAGAAGGCCUUCGGGUUGUAAAGCACUUUCAGUGGGGAAGAAAGCCUUGGGGCUAAUACCCUCGAGGAAGGACAUCACCCACAGAAGAAGCACCGGCUAACUCCGUGCCAGCAGCCGCGGUAAUACGGAGGGUGCGAGCGUUAAUCGGAAUUACUGGGCGUAAAGCGCGCGUAGGCGGUCUGAUAAGCCGGUUGUGAAAGCCCCGGGCUCAACCUGGGAACGGCAUCUGGAACUGUCAGGCUAGAGUGCAGGAGAGGAAGGUAGAAUUCCCGGUGUAGCGGUGAAAUGCGUAGAGAUCGGGAGGAAUACCAGUGGCGAAGGCGGCCUUCUGGACUGACACUGACGCUGAGGUGCGAAAGCGUGGGUAGCAAACAGGAUUAGAUACCCUAGUAGUC